Conger conger (European conger) is the source of this 284-nucleotide long non-coding RNA. RefSeq lists it as uncharacterized. The record is from RefSeq and is a predicted model, not a curated record. Lineage: Eukaryota; Metazoa; Chordata; Actinopteri; Anguilliformes; Congridae. The transcript is spliced from 3 exons.
GAGGGCGGAGCUGCGUUCAGCCCCGUGAACGUGUCGCUGAGGGAGCAGAACAGAACCACGGAGGAGGUGCAGAGGAGGGUCUCGGCUCUGGAGGAGGUGCGCAGGCAGAUGCAGGAGGACCACGCCCAGCAGCUGUCCCUGCUCAUCGCCGAGCAGGAGAAGGAGCAGCAGCGCCUCCGGCAGGAGCUGGAGGAGAGGGAUUGGGAGCUGAGAGAGCGGGGGGGAGACCAGGCCCUGGGUGACAGUCUGAUCACCCCUGAGCCAUCUCCAGCGCACAGCAUCGG